RNAcentral lists this ribosomal RNA (253 nucleotides) under uncultured bacterium. Its description in RNAcentral is "partial 16S ribosomal RNA". It matches the Rfam family "Bacterial small subunit ribosomal RNA", at positions 524 to 776 of the family's 1533-position model. The record is from RNAcentral.
UACAGGGGGGGCAAGCGUUGUUCGGAAUUACUGGGCGUAAAGGGCUCGUAGGUGGCCAACUAAGUCAGACGUGAAAUCCCUCAGCUUAACUGGGGAACUGCGUCUGAUACUGGAUGGCUUGAGUUUGGGAGAGGGAUGCGGAAUUCCAGGUGUAGCGGUGAAAUGCGUAGAUAUCAGGAGGAACACCGGUGGCGAAGGCGGAUCUCUGGGCCUUACCUGACGCUGAGGAGCGAAAGCAUGGGGAGCAAACAGG